This 30-nucleotide non-coding RNA is filed under the name Mus musculus (house mouse). Lineage: Eukaryota; Metazoa; Chordata; Mammalia; Rodentia; Muridae. The record is from RNAcentral.
UCNGAUGCUACAAAGUGAGACAUGACCUUU